RNAcentral lists this ribosomal RNA (1517 nucleotides) under Vibrio sp. SWN3-1. RNAcentral's name for it is "bacterial SSU rRNA". It matches the Rfam family "Bacterial small subunit ribosomal RNA". Lineage: Bacteria; Pseudomonadati; Pseudomonadota; Gammaproteobacteria; Vibrionales; Vibrionaceae. The record is from RNAcentral.
AGAGUUUGAUCCUGGCUCAGAUUGAACGCUGGCGGCAGGCCUAACACAUGCAAGUCGAGCGGAAACGAGUUAUCUGAACCUUCGGGGAACGAUAACGGCGUCGAGCGGCGGACGGGUGAGUAAUGCCUAGGAAAUUGCCCUGAUGUGGGGGAUAACCAUUGGAAACGAUGGCUAAUACCGCAUGAUGCCUACGGGCCAAAGAGGGGGACCUUCGGGCCUCUCGCGUCAGGAUAUGCCUAGGUGGGAUUAGCUAGUUGGUGAGGUAAGGGCUCACCAAGGCGACGAUCCCUAGCUGGUCUGAGAGGAUGAUCAGCCACACUGGAACUGAGACACGGUCCAGACUCCUACGGGAGGCAGCAGUGGGGAAUAUUGCACAAUGGGCGCAAGCCUGAUGCAGCCAUGCCGCGUGUAUGAAGAAGGCCUUCGGGUUGUAAAGUACUUUCAGUCGUGAGGAAGGUGGUGUAGUUAAUAGCUGCAUUAUUUGACGUUAGCGACAGAAGAAGCACCGGCUAACUCCGUGCCAGCAGCCGCGGUAAUACGGAGGGUGCGAGCGUUAAUCGGAAUUACUGGGCGUAAAGCGCAUGCAGGUGGUUUGUUAAGUCAGAUGUGAAAGCCCGGGGCUCAACCUCGGAAUAGCAUUUGAAACUGGCAGACUAGAGUACUGUAGAGGGGGGUAGAAUUUCAGGUGUAGCGGUGAAAUGCGUAGAGAUCUGAAGGAAUACCGGUGGCGAAGGCGGCCCCCUGGACAGAUACUGACACUCAGAUGCGAAAGCGUGGGGAGCAAACAGGAUUAGAUACCCUGGUAGUCCACGCCGUAAACGAUGUCUACUUGGAGGUUGUGGCCUUGAGCCGUGGCUUUCGGAGCUAACGCGUUAAGUAGACCGCCUGGGGAGUACGGUCGCAAGAUUAAAACUCAAAUGAAUUGACGGGGGCCCGCACAAGCGGUGGAGCAUGUGGUUUAAUUCGAUGCAACGCGAAGAACCUUACCUACUCUUGACAUCCAGAGAACUUUCCAGAGAUGGAUUGGUGCCUUCGGGAACUCUGAGACAGGUGCUGCAUGGCUGUCGUCAGCUCGUGUUGUGAAAUGUUGGGUUAAGUCCCGCAACGAGCGCAACCCUUAUCCUUGUUUGCCAGCGAGUAAUGUCGGGAACUCCAGGGAGACUGCCGGUGAUAAACCGGAGGAAGGUGGGGACGACGUCAAGUCAUCAUGGCCCUUACGAGUAGGGCUACACACGUGCUACAAUGGCGCAUACAGAGGGCGGCCAACUCGCGAAAGUGAGCGAAUCCCAAAAAGUGCGUCGUAGUCCGGAUUGGAGUCUGCAACUCGACUCCAUGAAGUCGGAAUCGCUAGUAAUCGUGGAUCAGAAUGCCACGGUGAAUACGUUCCCGGGCCUUGUACACACCGCCCGUCACACCAUGGGAGUGGGCUGCAAAAGAAGUAGGUAGUUUAACCUUCGGGGGGACGCUUACCACUUUGUGGUUCAUGACUGGGGUGAAGUCGUAACAAGGUAGCCGUA